AGCCUUCAGCAAACCCAGUACAAGUAUUGAAGGUGAUGCCUGCCCGGUGACUCACGUUCAACGGCCGCGGUAUCCUAACCGUGCAAAGGUAGCGCAAUCAAUUGUCCCAUAAAUCGAGACUAGUAUGAAUGGCUAAACGAGGUCUUAACUGUCUCUUACAGGCAAUCGGUGAAAUUGAUCUCCCUGUACAAAAGCAGGGAUAAACCCAUAAGACGAGAAGACCCUGUGGAACUUCAAAACCAGCGACCACCUUAAAACACAUACUCACCCACCGGGUUUACUGUCACACGAGCCACUGGUACGCGUUUUUCGGUUGGGGCGACCUUGGAGCAAAACAAAACCUCCAAAAAUUAGACCACACCUCUAGACUGAGAGCAACCCCUCAACGUGCUAAUAGCAACCAGACCCAAUAUAAUUGAUCAAUGGACCAAGCUACCCCAGGGAUAACAGCGCAAUCUCCUCCGAGAGUCCGUAUCGACGAGGAGGUUUACGACCUCGAUGUUGGAUCAGGACAUCCUAGUGGUGCAGCCGCUACUAAGGGUUCGUUUGUUCAACGAUUAACAGUCCU
Molecule: ribosomal RNA, 568 nt
Filed under: Dacnis cayana ultramarina
Lineage: Eukaryota; Metazoa; Chordata; Aves; Passeriformes; Thraupidae
Description: partial small subunit ribosomal RNA
Rfam family: Bacterial large subunit ribosomal RNA
Source: RNAcentral